Molecule: ribosomal RNA, 84 nt
Filed under: Vibrio agarivorans
Lineage: Bacteria; Pseudomonadati; Pseudomonadota; Gammaproteobacteria; Vibrionales; Vibrionaceae
Source: RNAcentral
CUUGGCAACCAUAGCGAUUUGGACCCACCUGACUUCCAUCCCGAACUCAGAAGUGAAACGAAUUAGCGCCGAUGGUAGUGUGGG